This is a long non-coding RNA of Manihot esculenta (cassava), 496 nucleotides long. RefSeq lists it as uncharacterized. The transcript has 3 exons. The record is from RefSeq and is a predicted model, not a curated record. NCBI's taxonomy places the organism in Eukaryota, Viridiplantae, Streptophyta, Magnoliopsida, Malpighiales, Euphorbiaceae.
AUUUCUUUGGUGUCCUCCCGACCACUUGGUGGCUGGGGCCAUUUAUGCUGGGCAGAGGUUUUUUAACUUUCCCUUGAGUGAUAAGUGGUGGGAAGAAUUUGGAAUAACUGAGCAUCAAUUACGAGAGGUUGGAGAGCGCUUUUGUGAAAGUCAGAGGAUCAAGCUACGAAGUUACAACGUGCCAUCACUGAAAGAAAGGUUGGGAAUUCUAUCUGGGCAGACACAACACCUAUACCAGCGAUUGGCAGAUGCAAGGAGAGAAAAUAAGAGGCUAACUGAUGCGUUGGAGGCGAGAUCAGAUCCUACGACACGACUCACUUUGUCCUAGAAUUCCAUCUUGUGUUUAUCUGUCCUUCCUUUUACUUUCAGCGCAUAAACUUUGAAUGUAUAUCUCAAGGUACUUUCUUACAGGUUAUGGUGACAUUAGUUUAGUAUCUUGUGUUUCCGUCGAGUGACUUUUCCUUUCAGCACAUAAAUUUUGAGAAUAUCAAGUUCU